AUCGAAUGUGCUUAAAAAUGAAGAACCAGGAUAUGUGACACGAUUAUAACAUACCAAUUGAUUGCAUGUUCAGGAAUUAAAGACUAAGACAUAAUGCUAUUACUAAUCUUGAUUAAUUUGAAAGAAAAAAUCAUUCAUGGCCUGGAAAAGAAUUUCUAGACUGACACAAUGUCUGGUCUAUUGACUAGGCCCAAACCAUCUGAGACAUAAUCUGCAUUGAGCUCGAACUGUAAUCCUCUUUAAUUCAUUAAAACAACAGCAUUAAACCUUUAAUGUAUCAAUACUAAAUCUGGUUUGUUAUAGCAGCCCAAACAAAAUUAAGAAAAGAAAUUUUCUAGAAGUUCAGGAUCAUAUUACAUGAAUGAAUAUCAAUACAUGAACAACUAAAUGUUAAUAAAGUUAACUUUACUAUAUCUGGAUAGCCUAACUAAUCCAUUGCCUCUUUACAAGCCUGAUUCGCCAUAGAGACCCUUAUUUCCAAUCAUGCUACCUGCAAUUGAAUCUCAUUUUUUGGGCCUAAACCUUGCGGAUUUGGUCAACCGGUGUCCAAAUUUGCAGAUUAUAGAGAUAUCACCAACAAUAAAACCCUUCAAAAUCACUCCAUUUAAACAAUAUGAGCAACCAACUAUGUAAACUCUGUAAAGCUGAAGUUGAAACUACAAACUUUUACCAUAUUGAUAUCAAUUUGUUCAUGCAACUUAUAUAUUCAGAAGAUUGCAAAGGCUAGAAUACCAAACAUGUUUUAUUAUUUCAUAAACUAAACUUAUUCUACAUAACCUUCACUAAAAAAAGAAAAUAAAAAUAAAAUGGCUCCAUUUUGAAAAGACUUUCAGCAACACAUUUCAGCAACUUAUUUGAUUCAUCAGGGUAUAACAUAAAUAAGAGACAAAUUUGGCAACAAACAAGGUUAUCACAUCGUAUGGCACAAAUUGUCAAACAGCAACACAUCUCGAAUAAAUUGCUACUUCAAUUUCAUAUUUAAAAGGGGUUUCAAAUGGUGGUGUUGCAUACAUAAAGGUAGUUGACAGGAGAAAAAAGGACCAAAUAAAAGCCCUAGGUCCAAGAAGAGAAAGACCAAAUCUUGCAGCAACAGCCAACCAAACACAGCUAAUAAACCAGACUAAGUGAAGAUAACUUUGAAACCAAAAACCAGCUAGAGUGCAUCAGGAAAAUCUCUUCUUCAUAUCAUAUUUCAAUUUUGUAAAUAAUCAAAAGAUUUGAAGUUUUUGAGUUUUUUCAAUGAUUUCCAGAAUCUACACUUUUGAGGAAUUAAAUAAGGCUUUUUAUGCAGAAAAUAGUGCUAAGUCCCUCUAUUUUCUAUGGGAAAGGCACUAUAUAUAGGGAUAUACAAUGCCUUAUGCUGAAGGAAUUAUUCCUUAGCCUAAACAGCAUAUUCCCAACAGAAUUGAGACAACUAAUUUUUCCCCAUUGGUUUCAGUACUUAGUACUAACCAAAUGAGGCCAGCUACCCCUUUUCUAGAGUAUUCUGAUAUUUCCAAAUAA
This 1503-nucleotide long non-coding RNA is filed under the name Nicotiana benthamiana. RNAcentral describes it as "long non-coding RNA (NBEN_LNC024442)". Lineage: Eukaryota; Viridiplantae; Streptophyta; Magnoliopsida; Solanales; Solanaceae. The record is from RNAcentral.